Molecule: RNA transcript, 7494 nt
Organism: Ostrea edulis (European flat oyster)
Lineage: Eukaryota; Metazoa; Mollusca; Bivalvia; Ostreida; Ostreidae
Exons: 2
Source: RefSeq, a predicted model, not a curated record
UUUUUUUUUAUAUUUGUCCGGGAUUGGUUUUGUUUUGUAUGUUACAAAAAGCUCCCAGCACGUUCACGGCAUGGUACCCGUACUCAUGCAUUUUGACUUCCAACUUUCCACAACUUCAUGGCACCAAAGUGUAAGUUUUUAAUCUCUUUAUUAACUUUUAUGUUAAAUGCAAGUCAUAUUAAGAAUGCAUACGCAUAUUUGUUAUUGUACACUUGUUGACCCCGAUGUGAUAAGCAGCCAGUAUAUCGUGACAUGCAGGUAGUUUAUAUUGUCUAAAUUUGAUUAAUUGAUAUUUCAUGGUUAUCUUAUCUCUGAUAGAUCUUUAAUGAUGUUAUUCAUUGCUGUUAUUAUUUCUUUCUGUGUAAAUGGGGCACGCUCGCUUAUUUUCUGAACGUACUAUAUAUUGACCUUUCACGUGUUCGAUAUGUAAAUCGCUCUGUGUAAAUUGCUCACAGUUUAAAUUUUUUCUCAAAGGUUGUGAUGAUUACAUUUAAGUUUUCACAUAUCAGUAUCAAUAUUUUAUAAGUCUUCUAGUGUGUGUAUUUAGAAUUCAAGAUUUUUGAUAACUUUGUAAAGCUUUUGGUGCAUGUUAUUCUUGAUUUACUGAAAUUUGAUAUCUUUAGCAUGAAAUGUGUAGAUAUGUUCUGAAUAACAUAUUACAUGUUUAUUAUAAACCAUGCCACUUAUCUUUUGUGCAGAACCUGUUGUAAUAGGAUCUUAUUUUUGUUUACAGUAUUUUACCCUCCCUGGAGGUUGUCUCUCUGCCAUUAAAAGUAAAGAAACAUACAUCGUCUUUCUUGUGACAGAAUAGUAAAAUAACUUCGACAUGGCUAUGGAACGGGAAAGGAAACUCACAGAGGCUGGAGCCGAGUUGUUCAUGGACAGAUGCAGGAAAUAUGAUCGGGAAAUAAAACAUAUUCAAAAGGAAAUUGAUGUCCUAAUAUCCACUCUUCAGGAAUAUCCAGAAAUAUCGGAUGCAGAGAUGGUACAUAAGCAGAUAAAACAAGCUAGUGGUGAUUUUAAAAGACUUUCAGAUCAUUAUGUUGACUUUCUUGUAAAACACAGAUCAGUUGAAAGCGAAACAGAAAGGAUUUCACAUUUGAAAUUAAGAGAUAAUGUAACGAGGGCUGUUACCGAGGUUCUCACUCAACGCACACAAGUUGCAACAAAAGAUCCUAGCUGUGACAGACAAAGCGUUAAAUCUGGAUCAGGCCGAUCAAUCCUUUCAUCUACUCAGUCUGCGAUUAUUCAGAAAAGAGCUGCACUUGAGGCUGCGAAAGUGAAAAUGAAAUACGUCGAGAAACAAGCUGCCAUUAUGACCCAAAAGGCAGCAUUGGAAGCGGAAAUCAGUCUACUUGAAAUCCAACAAGAAACCGAAGCCUUACAAUCAGCACUGAAUGUGAUGGAAAAUGCAGAACAGUUAGAUGAUAUAGAAACAGAAUCUAUUACUGAAGCUCGACAAGCAAGGACAAGUGAAUUUAUUCAACAACAUUUUGUGAAUUCCACUAACACUUCUGUUCAGCCACCUGUGCAAGCAAUUACAAGUACUUUGACAUCCGCUGUGCAACCGCCUGUACAGUCCACUGAUAGCACGUUCACAUCAGCUGUGCGACCUCGUGUGCAAUUCACUGAUAGUGCAUUCACGUCAACUGUGCAAACAUCUAUGCAGUCUAGUGAAACAUUUGUUCCUUUAUCGACAUUGGCAAAUUUAUGUUCCACACCUAUGAAUGAAAAUUGGCGUACAGCAUAUCAACCAACGCAAACCAUGGUACACUCUAGUCCCUUGCUUGCAACUUCAUCACAAACAAGUCAUGUGUAUGAUUUGCCGCCACCCUUUGCGCCGCGUUCAGACGUACUAUCUCAGCCGAAUCAUCUAUUGAAUACUGAAGCGCCAACCUUUGUGCCACAUUCGAGCAUACUGCCUCAGCCGAAUCACUUAUUAAAUACUGAAGUGCCAACCUUUAUGCCGCGUUCGGGUAUACUAUCUCAGGCAAAUUCUAUAGUGACUACUCAAACGCCUACCUUUGUGCCAUAUUCGAGUUUACCGUCUCAGCCAAAUCCGGUGACUACUCAAACCUCAGGAUCACAAUACGGUAAUCGCUACACAUCAGUCAAUAUGAUGCCACAUGUAGACAAUUCGCAGGUUGAACUUUGUCAGAUAAUGACUAGGAUGAUGGCCAGAAAAGAUGUAGUGCUUUCGCGUCUCAUUAAAUACAAUGAUAGUCCCAUCCAAUAUUUGUCUUGGAAACAAACAUUUAAAGCUGUAAUGUUAGAACUUGCAGUUACACCAUCAGAGGAACUGGAUCUCAUGAUCAAAUGGCUGGGUCCAGAUUCAUCCAGGCAGGCUGAAUGCAUAAAAACGGCCAGUGCAGGAAAUCACGUGGAUGCAUUACACAAAUUGUGGGAUAGACUUGACAUUCGGUAUGGCAGUCCUGAAUUGAUAGAAGCGUGCUUACGAAACAAACUUACGAACUUCCCAAAGCUUUCAAACACUCCGGCUGACAGCAAACGACUUUAUGAUUUGUACGACCUCUUGAGUGAAAUUCAGUGUGUCAAGGCCAACCCGCUCUAUUCUUCAGUGCUUGCAAUGUAUGAUUCAUCCACAGGAGUAAACCAAAUAGUAUCUCGCUUGCCGACCAAUCUACAAGAAAAGUGGUCAUCUCGCGCCAAUACUUACAAAAAUCAACAUGGAAUGCUAUUUCCUCCGUUCAGUUAUUUUGUCAACUUCAUCUACGACAUGGCAAAAUGGCGCACUGACCCGAGUUUUCAGUACAACACUAGCACACUAUCUUCUCAGAAACAGUCAGCAAAUAAUCAACCCCAAAUUCGCGUGAACGCAAGGAAAACGGAACUUUCUACAAACUCUACAGCUGAGGACAAAUUGAUGUGCCCCGUGCACAACACAAACCACAAUUUGAAUCAGUGCAGGACUUUCCGUCAGAAACCCAUGAAAGAGCGAAUGGAGAUUCUAAAGAAAAACAAACUUUGUUUCCGUUGCUGCAGUUUGAAACGACACACCAAGAACAAAUGCCAAGAGACUAUCCGAUGUGAUGUUUGUAAUCAGACAAGUCACCCGACUGGACUUCAUGUAUUGCGUGUUCAAAAUGUACAGCAACCCUCUCAUAACAAGGAUGAGAAUCUUACAGAAGAUGACAAUCGGCAUGGAGGGGAGUCACGGACCGGUGUUAAUACAAAAUGUACACAGGUUUGUGGGACUGACAAAAUUUGUAGCAAGUCAUGCGCAAAAAUUCUACAAGUGUAUGUCUACAAUGAGGACCAACCCAUGCAGGCUCGCAAGGUCUACGCAUUGAUCGACGAUCAAAGCAAUUACUCCCUUGGAAAACCGGAACUGUUUGACAACUUUGAUGAUCAUUCGGAACACAUAAACUUCACUUUAUCAACCUGUUCAGGGAAAGUUUCCGCGACUGGCAGAAAAGGCAACAAUUAUGUUGUUGAGUCCGCAGAUCAUAGUGUCAGGAUUAAGAUUCCGUCUCUUAUCGAGUGUUCAGACAUUCCCGAUAAUAGACAUGAAAUACCUUCUCCGGAAGUAGUGAAAAACUUUCCUCAUCUUUGUGAUUUGGUAUCGUACAUACCACCAGUUGAUGACAGUGUACACAUAGAACUCUUGAUAGGUCGUGACGUUAUACAAGCACACCAUGUUGUGGAUCAGAGGUUAGGCGGUGAUAACUUACCCUACGCUCACAAAUUACCUCUUGGUUGGGUUGUGGUUGGUGAAUCUUGUAUUGGAGCUCUCCAUGGACGUGAAUCUGUUCAAACAAUCACAGUUAGCAAAACUCACAUUCUUGCUAAUGGUAGAGCAACCUAUCUGGAACCAUGUGUUAACACGUUAACCAUCAAAGAAAACUCGAUCUUCGAGAAAACGCCACAGGAUGAGAGGCUUGGUCCAUCAGUGGAAGACGAGCUUUUUAUAAGUCUCAUGGAAAGUAAGGUUACGAAGGACUGUGAUGAUCGCUGGACUGCACCACUUCCCUUUCGCGAAAAUAGAAAGCUGUUGCCUAACAACAGAACUCAAGCCUUGCAGCGUGUUAAAUCAUUAGACCGUUCACUCCAGAAAGAUGAAGUCAAGAAGAAACACGUUGUUGAAUUCAUGGGAAAAAUGUUCGAAAACGGUCAUGCUGAGGUAGCACCACCUUUGCCAACACUUAGUGAACAAUGGUACCUACCGUUUUUCGGAAUUUAUCAUCCCAAGAAACCUGGAAAAGUUAGAGUCGUCUUCGAUUCGUCAGCAGUGUUCAGGGGAACGUCUUUGAAUGACGUAUUAAUGAAAGGACCGGAUUUAACCAAUAAUUUAUUGGGAGUACUCUUGCGAUUUCGGAAGGAAGCUAUAGCUCUUACAGCUGACGUGGAGCACAUGUUUUACAACUUCAAGGUGGACGAAACUCAUCGCAAUUAUUUACGAUUUGUGUGGCACGAAAAUAAUGACAUUUCACAACCGUUGAUGGACUACAGGAUGACAGUCCAUGUUUUCGGAAACUCUCCGUCUCCAUCUGUUGCAACCUUUUGUCUCAGAAAAUCCGUUGAGAAUGCAGACAGUGAUGUCCGAGAUUUUGUCUGUAAAAACUUUUAUGUGGACGAUGGACUCAUUUCUUGUCCAGAUCCUGACUCGGCAAUUGAUCUCAUGAAGCGCACACAGAAAGCGUUAGAAAUUGGAGGACGGUUGCGUUUGCAUAAGAUUGUCUCGAACAGCACAACUGUGUUACAGAAUUUCCCAUCAGAUGAUUUGUCAGCAGAUCUCAAGGAAUUGGAUCUUGGAUCUGACACUCCGCCAAUUCAGCGCAGUCUAGGGUUAUCAUGGGACAUUUCUACUGAUAGAUUUGUGUUCAGAGCGUCGACAGAAAACAAACCCUAUACCCGUAGAGGUGCGUUAUCAGUGAUCAAUAGUCUGUUUGAUCCCAUAGGAUUUGCAGCCCCCAUGACUUUGUAUGGGAAAUUGCUUCUCAGGGAAAUGAUGUCAGUCUCAGGACCUGUAAAUUGGGAUGAAGAGUUACCGCCUCAAUUGAAAUCGAAAUGGGAACGGUGGAUCACAUCACUCGUGCAUCUCCAGAAUUUUCAAAUUUCUCGCAAAUAUUCUGCAAUUUCAUUUCAUGAAGCUUUGCGUAGAGAGGUUCAUAUCUUCAGUGAUGCAUCUAAGGACGCAAUAGCUUCGGUAGCAUACUUAAAACUGAUAUCAGAUGAGGGAAGUGAUGUUUCAUUUUUGCUGGGCAAAUCAAAAGUAUCACCUGUUCAUGGUCAUACCAUUCCUCGCCUUGAGCUCUGCGCAGCAGUUCUAUCCAUUGCAGUUGCAGAGUUGGUGAAAGAGCAUUUGAACAUCCCCUCACAGGAUUUCUACUAUUACACAGAUAGCAAGAUAGUGUUGGGGUAUUUGUCAAACGAGGUACGGAGGUUCUAUGUGUAUGUCACCAAUAGGGUGAAUAGGAUCAGAGCAGCUAGUUCUCCGACUCAGUGGUACUUCAUUCCAACAGACAGUAACCCUGCUGACAUUGCAACGAGACGUAUCAAUGCAGAAGACUUGGUGAAUUCAACCUACCUAACGGGUCCAGACCUUUUGCGCAAUGACAUACAUGUACAAUUACCAUCUAGUGAAUUUCAGCUUGUAAAUCCUCAAGAGGAUACUGAGGUCCGCCCAGAAAUAUCAGUGAACAAAAUGAAAGUGAUCAGCCACAAAACAUGGGUUCAGAGAUUUUCAUUUUUCUCGUCAUGGAACAGUUUAGUGAGAGCUAUCAUGUUUCUGAAAGGAUUCAUUAGGAAACUUCACAAUGAGAGCAAACCCACACGAGCUGAAACGGAACAAUUUAUUGUGAAACUAGUACAACAGGAAGUUUAUGGUGAUGAAAUCAAUUCUUUGCAAACUGGACGUUCUUUGUCAAACAAAUCCAAAAUUCUUCCUCUUGCUCCUGUACAAGAUGAAAAUGGCAUUCUCAGAGUUGGAGGACGAUUGAAACAUGGAAAGGCUAUUUCCAUCAACACUCAGCCUGUGAUCAUUCCCCGAGACCAUCACAUUGCUAUCCUCUUAGUGCGACAUUUUCAUGGUAAAAUUCAUCACCAGGGCAGACACAUGACAGAGGGAGCUCUCCGUGCAUCGGGCUAUUGGGUGAUUGGCGGUAAGAGACUUGUGUCCUCUAUUAUUCGUCAUUGUGUGACUUGUCGAAAGUGUCGUGGACAAUUUCUAUUUCAAAAGAUGUCAGAUCUUCCGGAGGACAGAUUAUCUCCUGGACCACCUUUCACCUUUGUUGGUCUUGAUACAUUUGGACCAUGGUCAGUUCUCCAGCGUAAGACUCGAGGUGGAUCAGCUCAGCAAAAGAGAUGGGCAAUUUUAUUCACUUGCUUAGUUUCAAGAGCAGUUCACUUGGAAGUAGUAGAUGAGAUGAGCAGUGCAGCAUUCAUCAAUGCCUACCGCCGUUUUGUAGCAAUUCGUGGACCCAUAAAACUAUUGCGAUCAGAUAGGGGCACUAACUUUGUGGGUGCAAUUCAGGACUUGGGCAUUGAAGCAGAAUUUGUUGAGGAUGGAAGAAUCGCAAAAACUCUAGAAACCUAUGGAACUUCCUGGAAGUUUAAUCCUCCUCAUUCCUCUCACUUUGGAGGCUCAUGGGAGCGUAUGAUAGGGACCUGUAGGAGGAUUCUGGAUAACAUGCUCAUGCAAGAUAGGAAUAAACUAACUCAUGAUUCAUUAGUGACCUUGAUGGCUGAAGUUUCAGCGAUAGUGAAUUCUCGUCCGUUGCUGCCCAUUUCAACAGAUCCAGAAAACCCAGAAAUUCUGUCUCCCUCAGUGUUGUUGACUCACAAGAAAGGUCAAAACGAUACAUGCCCGUUUCCACAGUUUGGGACCAAGGAUAUGUUACGUAGUCAAUGGAAACUGGUUCAGGGUCUAGCAGAUGAAUUUUGGUCGAAAUGGACGAAAGAGUAUAUCUCAUCUCUUCAAGUCAGGAGAAAGUGGAAGCAGCCAGAAGUGAACUUGAAUGUCGGUGAUAUUGUUCUUGUAAGAGAGAAGGAUUUUCAUAGAUCCAUGUGGCCUAUGGCAAUAGUGACGAAACUUUUUCCAAGUGACGAUUUCCUUGUCAGGAAAGUGGAAAUCAAACUCUAUAAGGAAAACAAGAUUUGUGUGUUCGUUCGACCCGUAGUCGAUCUUGUCCUGUUGGUAUCUUCAGAUGAUUAGUGACUCAAUUUUCAUGGAUAAUGACUGAUAUUUGAUUUUAUGUAUUAUGUAUGUAUGAUUUUGCUAGUUUAGCAUAUUGAAUUUGAUGUAGUGAUUUUUUUAUAAAAAUCAGGAGGGGAGUGUGCUGGAUUCCGGAUUUUUUUUUUUUAUAUUUGUCCGGGAUUGGUUUUGUUUUGUAUGUUACAAAAAGCUCCCAGCACGUUCACGGCAUGGUACCCGUACUCAUGCAUUUUGACUUCCAACUUUCCACAACUUCAUGGCACCAAAGUUAUUUUACCCUCCCUGGAGGUUGUCUCUCUGCCAUUAAAAGUAAAGAAACA